GGAUGUGAGGGCGAUCUGGCUGCGACAUCUGUCACCCCAUUGAUUGCCAGGGUUGAUUUGGCUGAUCUGGCUGGCUAGGCGGGUGUCCCCUUCCUCCCGCACUGCUUUAUGUGCGUCCCUCCCAAAGCUGCGCGCUAGGUCCAAGAGGACGACCAUCCCCGAUAGAGGAGGACCGGUCUUCAGUCAAGAGAAGUAGCUGCGCUCCCCUGCUAGAACCUCCUAACAAGCUCUCAAAUGUUGAUAGAUCUUAUCUGUGUUAUUUAAAAAUCAAAUGGUUAUAAAUAUAGUAAAAUAAUAGAGGUAGACUAUAUGUCCUUA
Molecule: unclassified non-coding RNA, 318 nt
Organism: Dipodomys ordii (Ord's kangaroo rat)
Lineage: Eukaryota; Metazoa; Chordata; Mammalia; Rodentia; Heteromyidae
Gene: 7SK
Rfam family: 7SK RNA
About the family: 7SK was discovered as an abundant small nuclear RNA in the mid-70s but a possible function has only recently been suggested.
Source: Ensembl